RNAcentral lists this ribosomal RNA (825 nucleotides) under uncultured bacterium. RNAcentral's name for it is "bacterial SSU rRNA". It matches the Rfam family "Bacterial small subunit ribosomal RNA", at positions 60 to 869 of the family's 1533-position model. The record is from RNAcentral.
AGUCGAGCGAGAAGGAGACUUCGGUCUCUGAGUAGAGCGGCGCACGGGUGAGUAACGCGUGGAUGAUCUACCCUUGAGUUCGGGAUAACGGUGCGAAAGCGCCGCUAAUACCGUAUAACAAUCCAUUUCAUCGUGGGUUCAAAGCAGGCCUCUUCAUGAAAGCUUGCGCUUGGGGAUGAGUCCGCGUCCCAUUAGCUUGUUGGCGGGGUAACGGCCCACCAAGGCUACGAUGGGUAGCUGGUCUGAGAGGAUGAUCAGCCACACUGGAACUGAAACACGGUCCAGACUCCUACGGGAGGCAGCAGUGGGGAAUACUGCGCAAUGGGGGAAACCCUGACGCAGCGACGUCGUGUGAGGGAAGAAGGCCUUCGGGUCGUAAACCUCUGUCAGAAGGGAAGAACAUCCGGGAGUCGAACAGCCUCCCGGCCUGACGGUACCUUCAGAGGAAGCGCCGGCUAACUCCGUGCCAGCAGCCGCGGUAAUACGGAGGGCGCAAGCGUUAAUCGGAAUCACUGGGCGUAAAGCGUGCGUAGGCUGCUUGAUAAGUCAGACGUGAAAUCCCUCGGCUCAACCGGGGAACUGCGUUUGAUACUGUCGAGCUAGAGUCCUGGAGAGGGUGGCGGAAUUCCUGGUGUAGGAGUGAAAUCCGUAGAUAUCAGGAGGAACACCGGUGGCGAAGGCGGCCACCUGGACAGGUACUGACGCUGAGGUACGAAAGCGUGGGGAGCAAACAGGAUUAGAUACCCUGGUAGUCCACGCGGUAAACGAUGGAUGCUAGGUGUCGGGGAGCGAUCUUCGGCGCCGCAGCUAACGCAUUAAGCAUCC